Molecule: ribosomal RNA, 731 nt
Filed under: uncultured bacterium
Lineage: Bacteria
Description: bacterial SSU rRNA
Rfam family: Bacterial small subunit ribosomal RNA
Source: RNAcentral
AACAGGAUUAGAUACCCUGGUAGUCCACGCUGUAAACGAUGUCGACUUGGAGGUUGUGCCCUUGAGGCGUGGCUUCCGGAGCUAACGCGUUAAGUCGACCGCCUGGGGAGUACGGCCGCAAGGUUAAAACUCAAAUGAAUUGACGGGGGCCCGCACAAGCGGUGGAGCAUGUGGUUUAAUUCGAUGCAACGCGAAGAACCUUACCUACUCUUGACAUCCAGAGAAUUUGCUAGAGAUAGCUUAGUGCCUUCGGGAACUCUGAGACAGGUGCUGCAUGGCUGUCGUCAGCUCGUGUUGUGAAAUGUUGGGUUAAGUCCCGCAACGAGCGCAACCCUUAUCCUUUGUUGCCAGCGAGUCAUGUCGGGAACUCAAAGGAGACUGCCGGUGAUAAACCGGAGGAAGGUGGGGAUGACGUCAAGUCAUCAUGGCCCUUACGAGUAGGGCUACACACGUGCUACAAUGGCAUAUACAAAGAGAAGCGAACUCGCGAGAGCAAGCGGACCUCAUAAAGUAUGUCGUAGUCCGGAUUGGAGUCUGCAACUCGACUCCAUGAAGUCGGAAUCGCUAGUAAUCGUAGAUCAGAAUGCUACGGUGAAUACGUUCCCGGGCCUUGUACACACCGCCCGUCACACCAUGGGAGUGGGUUGCAAAAGAAGUAGGUGGCUUAACCUUCGGGAGGGCGCUUACCACUUUGUGAUUCAUGACUGGGGUGAAGUCGUAACAAGGUAACC